AAACCCAGUGACACGGGGGAGAUGACAUACAAAAAGGGCAGGACCUGAGAAAGAUUAAGCUGCAGGCUCCCUGCCCAUAAAACAGGGUGUGAAAGGCAUCUCAGCGGCUGCCCCACCAUGGCUACCUGGGCCCUCCUGCUCCUUGCAGCCACGCUCCUGGGCAACCCAGGUCUGGUCUUCUCUCGUCUGAGCCCUGAGUACUACGACCUGGCAAGAGCCCACCUGCGUGAUGAGGAGAAAUCCUGCCCGUGCCUGGCCCAGGAGGGCCCCCAGGGUGACCUGUUGACCAAAACACAGGAGCUGGGCCGUAACUACAGGACCUGUCUGAUGAUAAUCCAAAGACUGAAGGAUAUGGUGGAGGAUCAGCCCACCCAGGUGAGGCCAAGGGGCUACAGAGCCUCCUGUCUGCUGCUCAAUGGAGGGGCCAGCCUGUGACCAGGUCGGGGAUCGGGGAGCCCGGGGGCACCUUGCACAGUGAUCCUGGGGGAGGGCUUCCGAGAAGGGAAUCUGUGAGUCCCCGUGUGUCUGUGGAUGAAUUUCAGAGAACUUGUGAAAUUGUGACUCUCUGGAACUGUGUAAGUCAGACGGCAGAGUAUACAUGGUUUUCAUCAUGUAUCCUCAAAGAGGGCUUGUCCCAGAGAAGUUAGGAAUCUUCCCCUAAAGCCCUAACGUUUGUGUCCAAGGCAGAGUUUGAGAAGCUAGUUCCCCAAGAGGCCUGGGUCAGGACUGAUAAAUCCCAGAUCUGCUACUUCCA
RNAcentral lists this small RNA (754 nucleotides) under Pan troglodytes (chimpanzee). RNAcentral describes it as "retained intron". The record is from RNAcentral. Lineage: Eukaryota; Metazoa; Chordata; Mammalia; Primates; Hominidae.